RNAcentral lists this ribosomal RNA (508 nucleotides) under Paraulacizes irrorata. RNAcentral's name for it is "partial 16S ribosomal RNA". The stretch from base 382 to 508 matches the Rfam family "Bacterial large subunit ribosomal RNA", at positions 2473 to 2600 of the family's 2925-position model. Lineage: Eukaryota; Metazoa; Arthropoda; Insecta; Hemiptera; Cicadellidae. The record is from RNAcentral.
UUCUUUUAGUUUAUAAUUAAAGGUAAGUUCUGCCCUAUGAUUUUUUUAAAUGGCUGCAGUAUAUUGACUGUGCAAAGGUAGCAUAAUAAUUAGUCUUUUAAUUGGAGGCUGGAAUGAAUGAAUAAAUGAGAAGUUUAUUUUAUUAUAAUUAUUUUUGUAAUUUAAUUUUUAGGUAAAAAAGCCUAAUUGAUUUUUUGGGACGAGAAGACCCUAUAGAAUUUUAAUUUAUUAUUUUUAAUAAUUUUUUUAGUUUUUGUAUUAAUUUAAUUAUAUGUAUAUUUUUAUUGGGGUGAUAAAUAAAUUUAUCUUUAUUUUUAAGAAUCAUUAAUUUAUGUUUUAUUGAUCCAUUUUUAUUUGAUUAUAAGAUUAAAUUACCUUAGGGAUAACAGCGUAAUUUUUAUGAAGAGUUCAUAUUUAUAUAAAAGUUUGCGACCUCGAUGUUGAAUUAAGAUAAUUUUGUGGUGCAGUAGCUAUAAUACUAAGUCUGUUCGACUUUUAAAUUCUUACA